GGGCGGCGAGCGGCGGACGGGUGAGUAAUGGCUGGGAACCUGCCCGAUAGAGGGGGAUAACAGUUGGAAACGACUGCUAAUACCGCAUGAUGUCUACGGACCAAAGGAGGGGAUCUUCGGACCUUUCGCUAUCGGAUGGGCCCAGUUGGGAUUAGCUAGUUGGUGAGGUAAUGGCUCACCAAGGCGACGAUCCCUAGCUGGUUUGAGAGGAUGAUCAGCCACACUGGAACUGAGACACGGUCCAGACUCCUACGGGAGGCAGCAGUGGGGAAUAUUGCACAAUGGGCGCAAGCCUGAUGCAGCCAUGCCGCGUGUGUGAAGAAGGCCUUCGGGUUGUAAAGCACUUUCAGCAGUGAGGAAGGUUACGUAGUUAAUACCUGCGUGAUUUGACGUUAGCUGCAGAAGAAGCACCGGCUAACUCCGUGCCAGCAGCCGCGGUAAUACGGAGGGUGCGAGCGUUAAUCGGAAUUACUGGGCGUAAAGCGCAUGCAGGCGGUUUGUUAAGCAAGAUGUGAAAGCCCCGGGCUUAACCUGGGAACAGCAUUUUGAACUGGCAGGCUAGAGUCUUGUAGAGGGGGUAGAAUUUCAGGUGUAGCGGUGAAAUGCGUAGAGAUCUGAAGGAAUACCGGUGGCGAAGGCGGCCCCCUGGACAAAGACUGACGCUCAGAUGCGAAAGCGUGGGGAGCAAACAGGAUUAGAUACCCUGGUAGUCCACGCUGUAAACGAUGUCUACUUGGAGGUUGUGACCUAGAGUCGUGGCUUUCGGAGCUAACGCGUUAAGUAGACCGCCUGGGGAGUACGGUCGCAAGAUUAAAACUCAAAUGAAUUGACGGGGGCCCGCACAAGCGGUGGAGCAUGUGGUUUAAUUCGAUGCAACGCGAAGAACCUUACCUACUCUUGACAUCCAGAGAAGCCUGAAGAGAUUUUGGUGUGCCUUCGGGAACUCUGAGACAGGUGCUGCAUGGCUGUCGUCAGCUCGUGUUGUGAAAUGUUGGGUUAAGUCCC
Molecule: ribosomal RNA, 1005 nt
Filed under: Enterovibrio sp.
Lineage: Bacteria; Pseudomonadati; Pseudomonadota; Gammaproteobacteria; Vibrionales; Vibrionaceae
Description: bacterial SSU rRNA
Rfam family: Bacterial small subunit ribosomal RNA
Source: RNAcentral